Acanthosepion pharaonis is the source of this 110-nucleotide non-coding RNA. NCBI's taxonomy places the organism in Eukaryota, Metazoa, Mollusca, Cephalopoda, Sepiida, Sepiidae. The record is from the annotation of a GenBank genome assembly.
CAGCUAUAUCACAUUGAAAUAUCAGUUCUAGUACAAUCACUGAAGCAAAGCAAUGUUGAGCCUGGUCAGUACCUAGAUGGGUGACCACUUGAGAAUACCAGGUGCUGUAA